Molecule: non-coding RNA, 827 nt
Organism: Paramuricea clavata
Lineage: Eukaryota; Metazoa; Cnidaria; Anthozoa; Malacalcyonacea; Plexauridae
Source: the annotation of a GenBank genome assembly
CGGUGAAGGAUUCAGGAUUAUCCGGCAUGGAAAUAACGUUUUAAACGUACUAUAUAAAACGGUGUUCAAUAUUCAUACUACAUGAUGGGCAUAUGGCCAAACAAACACCUUGACCUUGCGCUUUUUUGCUCGAAUUUUAUACACACGCAUGAUUUUGUAUACAUAAUAUAAAUUUAAAUCUAGCAAUUCAAACCCAAAACUGAUGGAGUCAUGCAUGACAUCUAUCCAUAAUUCAUAUUUUCUCGAAAUGUUAGGUGAUUCAUUGUUAUUGCCGUUGUUGUAGCCCAGUAAACAGACACACACCGCCGUUUAGACAUGUCACAUGUCGUUCUUGUUCCUUUUAUAUACAACAUACGACAGACGGCAAAGCUUCGUAUUGCUUCUCUUUAAUUUCCAGUCCGGCUUUGUCCAGUCUUUGAAGUGAUUUUACAAGCGCGUGUUGAAACAGGUCAUCUGUACAAGAACCCAUGUUUCGAAUCACAGCAACCUCUUCGAGCACAUUUCGAGCGACUCGAUCAUGUUUACAUCAUACGUGAAAAUUGAUACAUGUAAUACGAGACCGAAAUGUGGUUGUAUUUUGACGAAUAUUAACGAUACAACGAAAUAUAAAACCCCAGUAGGUAUAAUUCCAUUAGGUGGUCUACACAUAUUCCCUUGAUGGUGGAAAAUACAUCAAAACAAAAGGAAAAUCCAAUAUUUUCUUCUCACCAACACGUCUCCACUCCUCAGUAAAAAUUAAUGCACAGUCAGCAUUUUUAGCUGCAGUAGAGCACGUUUACUUCCGGAAAACACCAGAAUUUGUGGUGUUCCGGUUUGGCUUGUCCCAG